RNAcentral lists this unclassified non-coding RNA (1404 nucleotides) under Hevea brasiliensis (rubber tree). Lineage: Eukaryota; Viridiplantae; Streptophyta; Magnoliopsida; Malpighiales; Euphorbiaceae. The record is from RNAcentral.
UUGAUAUGUAUGGGAAAUGUGGGUUGGUCAAUGAAUCUCAACGUGUUUUUGACAGAAUGAAUAUAAAGAAUUCAGUUUCUUGGUCCGCAUUGCUUGGGGGUUAUUGUCAAAAUAAGGACUUUGAAUCUGUUAUUAGGAUUUUUAGGGAAGUGGAAGAGGUUGAUCUCUACAGUUUCGGGACUGUUCUUCGUGCUUGUGCAGGCUUGGCAGCGAUAAAGCAAGGGAAAGAGGUUCACUGCCAGUACGUUAGAAGAGGUGGUUGGAGAGAUGUUAUUGUGGAAUCAGCUUUAGUUGAUCUUUAUGCAAAAUGUGGAUGUGUUGAUUUUGCACGUAGAAUUUUCACAAAUAUGCCUGUUAGAAAUUUGAUAACUUGGAACUCCAUGAUUGGUGGGUUUGCCCAAAAUGGAAGAGGGGGAGAAGCUCUUCAAAUAUUUGACGAGAUGAUUAAGGAGGGGAUUAAACCUGACUAUAUUACUUUCAUUGGACUUCUUUUUGCUUGUAGUCAUGCAGGUUUGGUUGAUCAAGGAAAAAAAUAUUUUAUGUCAAUGACCAAGCAAUAUGGAAUUAAACCUGGAAUUGAGCAUUACAAUUGCAUGGUUGAUCUUCUAGGCCGCGCUGGUUUACUAGAAGAAGCUGAAAACUUGAUAGAGAAUGCAGAUUGUAGUGAUGAUUCAUCUCUUUGGGCAGUUCUUCUCGGUGCUUGUGCAACCUGCACAGACUCUGCUAGUGCAGAGCGCAUUGCAAAGAAAACUAUGGAAUUGGAACCUGACUACCACUUGAGUUAUGUUUAUCUUGCUAACAUCUACAGAGCAGUAGGCCGAUGGGAUGAUGCUGUAAAGAUAAGAAGAUUAAUGAAAAAUAGGGGGGUUAAGAAGAUGCCUGGUAGAAGUUGGAUUGAGUCUAAUAAUAACAUGCAUUCAUAUUUAAAUGCAGAUGAUUUCAUUAUGUCUAUAGACAAUGAUUGAGCACGUGAGUUGGAUCUUGUUCAAUGAUGAAAAGAGCAAUGUAUGGAUAAAUUACUGGAACCAACUGGAAGACUCGAGAAAAAGUUUAAAUCUCUGAGCUUCUCUUGGUCACUAUCGAAAUACUUUGAGGCAUCCAGAAGACCAGAAUGACUGAAGAAUAUUGUUUAUUGAACUCAGGAACUACGAAGGCGGCAGCCACCAUUGAACCCGAGUUAUUGCAGCUGAAUUCCAUGACCACCCAAUUUUCCUUACUGGGAGAUCACUAGGGAAUUCCCAUCUUCUGGUAUUAUCAGAUGAUGCUGACCUCUCCUAUCUCUUCACUGAUUAAUUGAUGGAUUAGGAACACAUUUCCAUAGAUUCUCUUGUAUUGUCCCUUUUGGGGACUCCAACCAAAAGAAAAGAGUCUUCACACAAUAAUUUGCGAGACAACCAAUUUUGG